Molecule: long non-coding RNA, 400 nt
Filed under: Bos taurus (domestic cattle)
Lineage: Eukaryota; Metazoa; Chordata; Mammalia; Artiodactyla; Bovidae
Description: long non-coding RNA NONBTAT001037
Source: RNAcentral
UGUUAGAUCAAGUGGCUCAAUCCAUGCAGAUACUGGUCUCCUGGAAGAUAGAAUUUAGUGUAAAUUUAUAAAUUUGUAAUGAGUCCAGAAGUGGUAGUAAGGAUGUCAGGGAGAUAUCCAUCAUGGUGAGGAGUUAAUAUCUGUAUCUGCAUAACAUUCUAAUUGAUGGCUCUGUCUGAUGUUUGAAAAGCGUUAAAUUGCUGAUGUACAGGUGAUGGAAUGCCUAUUGUCAGGCUAGAAAUGAAAACUCUUCCUCAUCACUGCAGUUGGUUUGUAAAUGAUUUGUAGAGAAAUGACUUUGAAUGUUUGUAUUAGAGGUCAGAAUUAGUGAUCUCACUUUUCUAUAGUAACUUCUGUGUGCCAAAAUCUUCCUUGAGCAUAAACCACAGUCUACAAUUCA